GACUGGGCCCCAAAAAUGGUAUUUAGGACUUUUGGGGUGCCCUGAAACUGCCAAUUAGGAACUUUGAGGUGCCUUGAAACCAUCAUUUGGGGAUUUUGGGGGGUCUUGAAACCGCCAAUCAGGUGUUUUGGGGUGCCUCAAAAAAUGUUAGUUAGGACUGGGCCCCAAAAAUGGUAUUUAGGAAUUUUGGGGUGCCCUGAAACCGCCAGUGUCUCCUGGAUCUAUGGGGUGCCUUGAAACCCCCAAUUUCUCUAUGGACCUAUGGGGAGCCCCGAAACCGACAAUACAUUCAAAGAUCUAUGGGGUACCCCAAAACCAUGAUAGACCUAUGGGGCACCUCGAAACCGACAGUGUCUCCUGGAUCUAUGGGCGCCCCGAAACCGUCAACUUUUCCCAGGACUUAUGGGGCACCCCGAAACUGCCAGUGUCCCCAUGGACCUAUGGGGAGCCUCGAAACCCCCAAUACAGCCAAAGAUCUAUGGGGUACCCCAAAACCAUGAUAGACCUAUGGGGCACCUCGAAACCGACAGUGUCUCCUGGAUCUAUGGGAGCCCCGAAACCGUCAACUUUUCCCAGGAAUUAUGGGGUACCCCGAAACCACCGGUGUCUCCUGGAUCUAUGGGGGUGCCUUGAAACCACCAAUUUCUCUGUGGGCCUAUGGGGCACCCCAAAACUGCCAGUGUCUCCUGGACCUAUGGGGUGCCUUGAAACCCCCAAUUUCUCUGUGGACCUAUGGGGCACCUCGAAACCACCGGUGUCUCCUGGAUCUAUGGGGAGCCCCGAAACCGCCAAAUUUUCCCAGGACUUAUGGGGCACCCCG
This 820-nucleotide long non-coding RNA is filed under the name Anas platyrhynchos platyrhynchos (common mallard). RNAcentral describes it as "lncRNA (ENSAPLG00000022651.1)". The record is from RNAcentral. Lineage: Eukaryota; Metazoa; Chordata; Aves; Anseriformes; Anatidae.